GUAGUUAAAUUCUAAAAUAGUAUGGGAGUUUAAAGUGAAGUUUGUGAGAGUUUAAGAAGCUAGAUUAACACUCAUUUCUUGAUUUUAUUAUGGAUUUAAGGUAAGAAUUCAAACAUUUCUUAAUAAUUUCUUGAUUACAACAACAACAACAACAAAUCCAGUGUAUUCCCACCUAGUGGGGUCUGGGGGGGUAAGAUGUACGCAGUCCAUACCUCUACCUCUGAAGAAGUAGAAAGGCUGUUUCCGAUAGACCCCCGGCUCAAGGCACGAGAUACCACACAAACACAUAGUAAAGCACAACACAAGAUUAUAUAACAUAAAUACGGCACCCAUAUGUAAUAUACAACAGAGGAAAGCACACAGAUUCAUAAUAAAACAUGGAACACGGACUCAUAACUAGAAUAAAACCCCUACCAAGUAAUUCUCUACACUAGCGACUCAAACUGGCCCUAGUCCUCUGCCCUAAUUCGCGUCCUCCAGACCUUCCUAUCUAGGGUCAUGUCCUCGGUGAGCUGUAACUGCUCCAUGUCCCGCCUAAUCACCUCACCCCAGUACUUCUUCGGCCUACCCCUACCCUGCCUAAAACCAUCCAACGCUAGCCUCUCACACCUACGGACCGGGGCAUCCAUGCCCCUCCUCUUCACGUGUCCGAACCAUCUCAAUCGGGCUUCCCGCAUCUUGCACUCCACUGGAGUCACACCAACCUUCUCCCGGAUAGUCUCAUUCCGAACUCUAUCCCCUCUAGUCAGCCCACACAUCCAGCGAUUUCUCAAAAUCUCAAAAAUCUUAGGGCUUGAUUUUAAAUUUCAAUUUCACUUAUUUUCACUUGAAUAAUAUUUUACCUUAUGAUUACAAAUCUUUCAUUAAUUUAACCCUUAAAACAACUUAGAUUUUUGACUUUAACUCGAAUUUCAAAGAAUUUAUCUAGUAAAGCUUAAAAUGGGGUUUCUUUGAUUUGAACCUCGUUUUUUACUCGAGUUUUCAGUUGUAGGUUCCUAGUGAAGUUUCAAUUUUGCCCUUCUUUUUUAAAAAUCCGUUUCGGG
RNAcentral lists this long non-coding RNA (1043 nucleotides) under Capsicum annuum. RNAcentral describes it as "long non-coding RNA (CANN_LNC011697)". Lineage: Eukaryota; Viridiplantae; Streptophyta; Magnoliopsida; Solanales; Solanaceae. The record is from RNAcentral.